This 492-nucleotide ribosomal RNA is filed under the name uncultured bacterium. Its description in RNAcentral is "partial 16S ribosomal RNA". It matches the Rfam family "Bacterial small subunit ribosomal RNA", at positions 29 to 507 of the family's 1533-position model. The record is from RNAcentral.
AGUGAACGCUGGCGGUAGGCCUAACACAUGCAAGUCGAACGGCAGCACAGUAAGAGCUUGCUCUUACGGGUGGCGAGUGGCGGACGGGUGAGGAAUACAUCGGAAUCUACUUUUUCGUGGGGGAUGACGUAGGGAAACUUACGCUAAUACCGCAUACGACCUACGGGUGAAAGCAGGGGAUCUUCGGACCUUGCGCGAUUGAAUGAGCCGAUGUCGGAUUAGCUAGUUGGCGGGGUAAAGGCCCACCAAGGCGACGAUCCGUAGCUGGUCUGAGAGGAUGAUCAGCCACCCUGGAACUGGGACACGGUCCAGACUCCUACGGGAGGCAGCAGUGGGGAAUAUUGGACAAUGGGCGCAAGCCUGAUCCAGCCAUACCGCGUGGGUGAAGAAGGCCUUCGGGUUGUAAAGCCCUUUUGUUGGGAAAGAAAAGCAGCAGGUUAAUACCCCGCUGUUCUGACGGUACCCAAAGAAUAAGCACCGGCUAACUUCGUG